Molecule: ribosomal RNA, 253 nt
Filed under: uncultured bacterium
Lineage: Bacteria
Description: partial 16S ribosomal RNA
Rfam family: Bacterial small subunit ribosomal RNA
Source: RNAcentral
UACGUAGGGUGCAAGCGUUGUCCGGAAUUAUUGGGCGUAAAGAGCUCGUAGGCGGUUUGUCGCGUCGGAUGUGAAAUCCCGGGGCUUAACCCCGGGUCUGCAUUCGAUACGGGCUGACUAGAGUUCGGCAGGGGAGACUGGAAUUCCUGGUGUAGCGGUGAAAUGCGCAGAUAUCAGGAGGAACACCGGUGGCGAAGGCGGGUCUCUGGGCCGAUACUGACGCGGAGGAGCGAAAGCGUGGGGAGCGAACAGG